CUUCAGGGCAGCCAAUGAGAAACAAACAACCACCCUCGCCCCUAGCAAUAAGAUUAAUAAAAGGUUUCUGCAUGAAGGACUGUGGGAGGAAACUGUCUCUGGAAUGAGACAGACACUGUGGCAGAGAGAAGGAAGAGUGACAGAAGUUUCAGAUGAAAGAAUCAACCACCGACAAAGCCAUCAUCUGGCAGGGAAGGAGCAGAAGGACAGAGUUUCAGGAAAUUGCUUAUUUCACUGUGGCGGCUGUUCACUGUGCUAGGGCUGGUGAUGACAUGCUAUUCCCCUGUGUGUCCACUGACGCACUCCUGGUGGGAUGGAGUCCAUUAUGGUGGUGAAGAAAUGGUAACAGGCAGAGACAUCAUGGUAGCAGAAGCAAGAAGCUGGCUGAUGACAUUCCAUCAACACUCAGAAAGGAAGAAGUGGAGCCAGGCUGUGAAAUCCAAAGCCUACAGCCAGUGAGGUUCUGCUUCCUGCUGAAUCUCACUGUAAUCAGAUUAACCAUAUCC
Molecule: long non-coding RNA, 506 nt
Organism: Peromyscus eremicus (cactus mouse)
Lineage: Eukaryota; Metazoa; Chordata; Mammalia; Rodentia; Cricetidae
Exons: 4
Source: RefSeq, a predicted model, not a curated record